CAAGUCGAGCGAGGCGGGGAGCAAUCCCCAGUCGAGCGGCGAACGGGUGAGUAACGCGUGGAUGACCUGCCUUGAGGUGGGGGAUAACUCGGGGAAACUCGAGCUAAUACCGCAUAUGACCGUGAGGUCAAAGGGGGCCGCAAGGCUUCCGCCAUGAGAGGGGUCCGCGUCCGAUUAGCUAGUUGGUAGGGUAAUGGCCUACCAAGGCGACGAUCGGUAGCCGGCCUGAGAGGGUGAUCGGCCACACUGGAACUGAGACACGGUCCAGACUCCUACGGGAGGCAGCAGUGGGGAAUUUUGCGCAAUGGGCUAACGCCUGACGCAGCAACGCCGCGUGGAGGAUGAAGGUCUUUGGAUUGUAAACUCCUGUCAGCAGGGAAAAAGGGACUGGACCUAAUACGUCUGGAACUUGAUUGUACCUGCAGAGGAAGCCCCGGCUAACUCUGUGCCAGCAGCCGCGGUAAUACAGAGGGGGCAAGCGUUAUUCGGAAUUAUUGGGCGUAAAGGGCGCGUAGGCGGCUAUUCAAGUGGCGGGUGAAAUCCCUCGGCUUAACCGAGGAACUGCCUGCCAGACUGGAUGGCUUGAGACCGGGAGAGGUGAGUGGAAUUCCCAGUGUAGCGGUGAAAUGCGUAGAUAUUGGGAGGAACACCAGUGGCGAAGGCGGCUCACUGGACCGGUACUGACGCUGAGGCGCGAAAGCGUGGGGAGCAAACAGGAUUAGAUACCCUGGUAGUCCACGCCGUAAACGAUGAGUGCUUGGUGUAGCGGGUAUCGACCCCUGCUGUGCCGACGUCAACACAUUAAGCACUCC
RNAcentral lists this ribosomal RNA (812 nucleotides) under uncultured Bacillota bacterium. RNAcentral describes it as "bacterial SSU rRNA". It matches the Rfam family "Bacterial small subunit ribosomal RNA", at positions 58 to 870 of the family's 1533-position model. The record is from RNAcentral. Lineage: Bacteria; Bacillati; Bacillota.